GAUGAAGAACGCAGCGAAAUGCGAUACGUAAUGUGAAUUGCAGAAUUCAGUGAAUCAUCGAAUCUUUGAACGCAUAUUGCGCUCUCUGGUAUUCCGGAGAGCAUGCUUGUUUGAGUAUCAGUAAACACCUCAACUUCCAUAUCUUUUUUGAAAUGGGAGUUGGACUUGAGUGAUCCCAACGCUUUUCCUCACCGAAAAGUGGCGGGUUACUUGAAAUGCAGGUGCAGCUGGACUUUUCUCUGAGCUAUAAGAAUAUCUAUUUAGUCUGCCUAAAAAACAGAUUAUUACCUUUGCUGCAGCUAACAUAAAGGAGAUUAGUUCUUGUGCUGACUGAUGCAGGAUUCACAAAGACGGCUUCGGCCGACUUUGUAAACUCGAUCUCAAAUCAAGUAAGACUACCCGCUGAACUUAAGCAUAUCAAUAAGCGGAGGA
This 432-nucleotide unclassified non-coding RNA is filed under the name soil metagenome. Its description in RNAcentral is "partial contains 5.8S ribosomal RNA, internal transcribed spacer 2, and large subunit ribosomal RNA". The stretch from base 1 to 120 matches the Rfam family "5.8S ribosomal RNA", at positions 35 to 154 of the family's 154-position model. The record is from RNAcentral.